RNAcentral lists this ribosomal RNA (136 nucleotides) under uncultured bacterium. Its description in RNAcentral is "partial 16S ribosomal RNA". The record is from RNAcentral.
CACGUAGUUAGCCGGGCCUUCUUCCUCGGGUACUGUCCUCCAUCAUCCCCAAGAAAAGCGGUUUACACUCCGAAAAGCGUCAUCCCGCACGCGGCGUUGCUCCGUCAGGGUUUCCCCCAUUGCGGAAAAUUCCUUG